GGAUUAGAUACCCUGGUAGUCCACGCCGUAAACGAUGGACACUAGUUGUUGGAGGGCUUGACCUUUCAGUGACGUAGCUAACGUGUUAAGUGUCCCGCCUGGGGAGUACGUCCGCAAGGAUGAAACCCAAAGGAAUUGACGGGGGCCCGCACAAGCGGUGGAGCAUGUGCUUUAAUUCGAUGCAACGCGAAGAACCUUACCUGGUCUUGACAUAUCACUGACCUUUCUAGAGAUAGAAUUUUUUCUUCGGAAACAGUGAAUACAGGUGCUGCAUGGUUGUCGUCAGCUCGUGCCG
RNAcentral lists this ribosomal RNA (295 nucleotides) under uncultured bacterium. RNAcentral's name for it is "partial 16S ribosomal RNA". It matches the Rfam family "Bacterial small subunit ribosomal RNA", at positions 775 to 1067 of the family's 1533-position model. The record is from RNAcentral.